Molecule: transfer RNA, 70 nt
Filed under: Cordylochernes scorpioides
Lineage: Eukaryota; Metazoa; Arthropoda; Arachnida; Pseudoscorpiones; Chernetidae
Description: tRNA-Gly
Source: RNAcentral
UGCAUCGGCCGGGAAUCGAACCUGGGCCGCCCGCGUGGCAGGCAGCAUUCUACCACUGAACCACCGAUGG